This 426-nucleotide ribosomal RNA is filed under the name uncultured bacterium. RNAcentral's name for it is "bacterial SSU rRNA". It matches the Rfam family "Bacterial small subunit ribosomal RNA", at positions 954 to 1380 of the family's 1533-position model. The record is from RNAcentral.
GCAUAACGCGAAGAACCUUACCAAGGCUUGACAUGCAUCUCUAAGCGCGUGAAAGCGCGUGACCCUUCGGGGGAUUUGCACAGGUGCUGCAUGGCCGUCGUCAGCUCGUGUCGUGAGAUGUUGGGUUAAGUCCCGCAACGAGCGCAACCCUUGUGACUAGUUGCCAGCACGUUAUGGUGGGAACUCUAGUCAGACUGCCCAGAUCAACUGGGAGGAAGGUGGGGACGACGUCAGGUCAGUAUGGCCCUUACGCCUUGGGCUGCACACGUACUACAAUGCCCAGCACAAUGAGAACCGAGACCGCGAGGUGGAGGAAAUCUAAAAAACUGGGCCCAGUUCGGAUUGGAGGCUGCAACUCGCCUCCAUGAAGUUGGAAUCGCUAGUAAUGGCGCAUCAUCUACGGCGCCGUGAAUACGUUCCCGGGUC